GACGAACGCUGGCGGCGUGCUUAACACAUGCAAGUCGAACGGAAAGGCCUGCUUUCCCUUGUGGAUUGCGGGUACUCGAGUGGCGAACGGGUGAGUAACACGUGAGUGAUCUGCCCCCAACUUGGGUAUAAGCCUGGGAAACUGGGUCUAAUUCCCGAUAGGACUGCAGGGUGGUGCCUGUGGUGGAAAACGAUUUUCUAGUGGUUGGGGAUGAGCUCGCGGCCUAUCAGCUUGUUGGCGGGGUAAUGGCCUACCAAGGCGGCGACGGUAGCCGGCCUGAGAGGGUGGACGGCCACAUUGGGACUGAGAUACGGCCCAGACUCCUACGGGAGGCAGCAGUGGGGAAUACUGCACAAUGGGCGGAAGCCUGAUGCAGCGACGCCGCGUGGGGGAUGACGGCCUUCGGGUUGUAAACUCCUUUCGACCGCGAGGAAGCCACCUGGUUGGAAGGGUGGUGACGGUAGUGGUAGAAGAAGCACCGGCUAACUACGUG
RNAcentral lists this ribosomal RNA (493 nucleotides) under uncultured bacterium. RNAcentral describes it as "partial 16S ribosomal RNA". It matches the Rfam family "Bacterial small subunit ribosomal RNA", at positions 28 to 507 of the family's 1533-position model. The record is from RNAcentral.